RNAcentral lists this ribosomal RNA (474 nucleotides) under Triticum aestivum (bread wheat). Its description in RNAcentral is "partial small subunit ribosomal RNA". Lineage: Eukaryota; Viridiplantae; Streptophyta; Magnoliopsida; Poales; Poaceae. The record is from RNAcentral.
AUGUAUAACAUUCAUCCAUGGAUGGAUGAAUCAGAUGGGGCAGGUGAAGUUCGCGGGGCACUUCUUGCCGCACUGGUUGAGGAGGAGGGUCAGGUCGAUGGGGACGUCGAGCUUGAUGCCGAGGAUGUUGGCCCUGAUGGCGGUGCAGAGGCACACAGCGGCGUCGAGGUCGGCGAGCCCGCCCAGGAGCGGGCAACACUGCUCGUUCGCCGGCACACCGAUCCUGAGCUUCAGCAGGUUCAGCACGUUGGCGCACACGCCCAGCUUCAGCGUGUUGAUCGGGCAGCUGCCCCCGCCAGUCGAUGGCACGACAGGCGGUGGGCGGAUCGGCGGGGUAGGAACGACAGGCGGGCAGUUGGGCCCGCAGCCCUGUACGGCGGCGAGGAGGAUCAGGUUCAGGGCGAGGAAGAGGGCGAGCUUAGACGGCGCCAUUGCUCUUACUGGUCUGUGGGUAAGCUUUGCAGGCUUUGCUAG